AGCUUGCUUGGUGGAUCAGUGGCGAACGGGUGAGUAACACGUGAGCAACCUGCCCUGGACUCUGGGAUAAGCGCUGGAAACGGCGUCUAAUACUGGAUAUGAGCCUCUAUCGCAUGGUGGGGGUUGGAAAGAUUUUUUGGUCUGGGAUGGGCUCGCGGCCUAUCAGCUUGUUGGUGAGGUAAUGGCUCACCAAGGCGUCGACGGGUAGCCGGCCUGAGAGGGUGACCGGCCACACUGGGACUGAGACACGGCCCAGACUCCUACGGGAGGCAGCAGUGGGGAAUAUUGCACAAUGGGCGGAAGCCUGAUGCAGCAACGCCGCGUGAGGGAUGACGGCCUUCGGGUUGUAAACCUCUUUUAGCAGGGAAGAAGCGAGAGUGACGGUACCUGCAGAAAAAGCGCCGGCUAACUACGUGCCAGCAGCCGCGGUAAUACGUAGGGCGCAAGCGUUAUCCGGAAUUAUUGGGCGUAAAGAGCUCGUAGGCGGUUUGUCGCGUCUGCUGUGAAAUCCCGAGGCUCAACCUCGGGCCUGCAGUGGGUACGGGCAGACUAGAGUGCGGUAGGGGAGAUUGGAAUUCCUGGUGUAGCGGUGGAAUGCGCAGAUAUCAGGAGGAACACCGAUGGCGAAGGCAGAUCUCUGGGCCGUAACUGACGCUGAGGAGCGAAAGGGUGGGGAGCAAACAGGCUUAGAUACCCUGGUAGUCCACCCCGUAAACGUUGGGAACUAGUUGU
RNAcentral lists this ribosomal RNA (732 nucleotides) under Microbacterium sp. CUA-868. RNAcentral's name for it is "bacterial SSU rRNA". It matches the Rfam family "Bacterial small subunit ribosomal RNA", at positions 77 to 823 of the family's 1533-position model. The record is from RNAcentral. Lineage: Bacteria; Bacillati; Actinomycetota; Actinomycetes; Micrococcales; Microbacteriaceae.